CCUACGGGUGGCAGCAGUGGGGAAUAUUGCACAAUGGGGGAAACCCUGAUGCAGCGACGCCCCGUGAGUGAAGACGGAUUUCGGAAUGUAAACCUCUAUCAUCAGUGAAGAAGAAAGACGGUACCUAACUAACAAGCCACGGCUAACUACGUGCCAGCAGCCGCGGUAAUACGUAGGGGGCAAGCGUUAUCCGGAUUUACUGGGUGUAAAGGGAGCGUAGGCGGGUGGGCAAGUCUGAAGUGAAAGCCCAGGGCUUAACUCUGGGACUGCAUUUGAAACUGUGUGGCUAGAGUGCUGGAGAGGUAAGUGGAAUUCCUAGUGUAGCGGUGAAAUGCGUAGAUAUUAGGAGGAACACCAGUGGCGAAGGCGGCUUACUGGACAGUAACUGACGUUGAGGCUCGAAAGCGUGGGGAGCAAACAGGAUUAGAUACCCCAGUAGUC
This 441-nucleotide ribosomal RNA is filed under the name uncultured bacterium. RNAcentral describes it as "partial 16S ribosomal RNA". It matches the Rfam family "Bacterial small subunit ribosomal RNA", at positions 338 to 795 of the family's 1533-position model. The record is from RNAcentral.